This 4995-nucleotide small RNA is filed under the name Caenorhabditis elegans. Its description in RNAcentral is "Unclassified non-coding RNA Y47H9C.23". Lineage: Eukaryota; Metazoa; Nematoda; Chromadorea; Rhabditida; Rhabditidae. The record is from RNAcentral.
GAAUGGUGGUUCGAAAUGUGUCCAAGAAGCUGAGAAAUCACGUGGUGUCAAUCUGUCUCAUUGCGACUCAUUGCGAGAAAAUGCGGAAAAAAUUUUCAAAAAAUCGUGACGUCACAGAGGCGAGAGUUCAUUAGAGCAGCUUUGCUGCAUGAAAUUUAGGUACCGAUUUUGCAAUAUUUUUCUGCUUUUUAUCGCAUUUUUAAUAGUUUUCAGAUGAUUUUUUCGAAUUUAAUUGCAUCAUUAUGUUUAAAUCGUAUUUUACUUCAUAAAAUCGACCCAAUUUUUCGUUUUUUUUCGCUUAAUUUUCAGAAUUAUCGAGAGGAAACGGAUUUUUGGGCGAAUGAAGCCGUUUCAUAUAUGUUUUCGAUGAAAACGAUAAUGUUAAUAAGCUUUACAUGUACUUUUCGGUUUUAUACUUUCUUUAUCCGUCUUUUCCUUAUCUGAGCAACGUUUUUUUCAGGGUUUUGUCCUUUUCCGGGCCGCAGUGAGCACGAACACAUUGGAGAGUUCGAGAUCGUCCAGAGAGAGUGAGAAUUUCAAGUAGCUCUCACAGGUUUGUGUUGAAAUCGAAUUGCAAAGUGAAAAGUACAAAUUUUGCAGGCCACACAAUGCAUGGAAGCCCGAGAAUCACACCAAUCACAACCGGAACAACAAGGCUCACCGUAAUGGGAUCACGAAGCCGAAGAAGCACAUCUUCCUCUCCAUAGAAGGAAGUCGACGCCAAGUUCAUCAAGAACCUCCGUUUCGAGGUUAGAUAUAGAUCCGGCGAUCUUUCUUUAUUAUCAUUGUGAUAAGAUAAGACAUGCAAUUUCGAUUCCUCACGAGUACAACAAAAAAAUUAAUGUCGGGGUUUCAUGAUUUGCUUUUUUAUAAAUUUGUAUUAGAACAAAUAUUUUCAGAUUGAGCGACGUCGGCGAGCUGGACAUUGUUGAUGCGUAUUUGGGAUUGUUCGCAAUAAAUUGGCAAGAGGAGAAAGUUGUGAAAAUCCUCGGAGCUGGAGAACUGCCUGCAAACAACAAAAAUGCUGCUCCAAUCAAAUAUUUGAAUGAUUUGGAUAUUCUUCUCGAUGGAAGAAUCAUUUUCGCCGAAUCAUCAACAAAAUUCGAUGAUCGUGAUUCCAUUCUGGAUCUCUUCGAGCAUCGUCCAAAUGGUCGUCUUUUAAUUUAUGAUCCAAGAAAGAAAGAUUUGAGAGUGCUAAAAUAGUACUAAAAGCGAAGGAAGCACAUCUUCCUCUCUCUCUCUGUCGACGUCAAGUUCAUCAAGAGCCUCCGUUUCUUCAGAAAGAACAACAAACGUCAGAUCAACAAGCCCGUCGAGUCACUACGUAAGUUUCGAAACAAGGGUUUUCACCCUGAAAAUUUGAAAUGCUAAAUUUAAAAGUAUUUUCUUAAAAAGCAAAACAUGUUUUGUUGGGAAAAAACAAAUACUGAAUGCAAAAAUGAAAUAAAUCACGCAAAAAAUUAUAUAACAAGGUCAAGCAACAUAACAAAUAACAAUUAUCAAUUUCUGAGAAGUAACCGGACCGGAAACAAUUGGAAAGUCAACGGAACGCAGAGAAAUGGUUAGUGAAACAAGAAAAACGACAUCGAACUAACUUAAUUACGAAUGUAGUCGCAUGUGGCAUAAACGUAACAUUUAAUGAAAAUCAUUUUAAAGCAAUAUGUUGCCCGCGUAGAUAACUUUGCAGAAGUUCGGAUUUGAGCAUUGAGUUUGUUGUACCACGAGUGAAGAGACUCGAUACCCUGCUCACUAGUCAACGCCCAGGUCUUUUUUGCGUUUACGAACGGCAUCACGUGCUCCAAGAGCACAUGAAGCUUUGGAGUGACGACGUCAUCAGGAGCGUAGCUUUUUAGGGCUUCCCAAAGGUCAUUCUGAAAUAUAGUUUAUUUAUAUUUAUAAAGAAGCUAGUGUAGUUUACGAUGUGUUGAUCCAUUAGUUUAAUUUCAUCAUCACUCAGUGUUCGGGCAACGCAUAGUUUUUGCAAUUUGCCAAGUGAAAUGAGAAAAGUCGCGAUGCCGUCACGAUCUGAACCAGCAGGAAAAAUGCCUAGAUAGUCGAGGACCGCAGCUUCUUCCAAUAAUUUUAGCGUGUGAUUUCCUGUGAAAUUCUGCUGCCAGGCAGACAUAUCAGCACCAUGGCGUUUCCAAAUUUCCUCAAGCCGCUUUCUCGUUUUGUUCUGCCCCCCCCCCCCCGCGGUUUGGAUGAGACUAUCGUAUUCUGCUUGAGCUAAUCUGUAAAUUGAAAUGCUUUCUUUAAAGAAAAUAUAAAUACUCCAACCUCAAAUCUUCCAUCAAUUUAUUCUUCUCAUUUUCCAGAUGUGCAAUGGUGGAUUCAGCUUCCAUCUCGAUGCGAUUCACCGUCAUGGAUCGACACUCGAAGCAAUCCACGUCAGGAGAAUCUUCAGUGGUAAGCUUCCAACUUUCAGGGUCCCACAGCCCACAGCAUACGCCGUGUACAGACUUGGAACAAGUCUGACAGUCCACUUUGCGCCCAUCGUAUGAAGUUGCCAGUUUCAUAGUCUUGUCCUUGAACAAGCACAUCGCUGCUCUACACGGCUCGGCUGGUGACUUGUACCCGUUGACUUGACGAUCCUUGAAAUUUUGAACAACCUGAAGAGCACAUUUUGUUCCUGAAAGAAAUUCUUCCAGCUCCUCCAGUUUUUCAGCUCUAUCAUUGACUACUGCCUUCGAGAUCCUGGUUUUCUUGAUGUCACCCCUUUUUAAUUGCAUGGAGGGGUUAUCCAACCUUGCAGCCCAAAGAAUCAGGUAGUCAAACGCGAAUCUCUGGGCUACUCCCAUGAUGAUAUGCAAGGAUGGAGGAAUCACGUUGAACAAACUGAUGAGAUCGAACAAGAAGCUGGAAUUCUGUACAACGUUUCUUCUUGCGACAUGAUGUGAUGGCUUGGACGGUUUGGAGCUAUCUCUCUUGUAGUCAUCCGGAGUUCUGAGCUCAAUGUUGUAUCUGCGAAGGUACCUGCUGAUCGACUGCCCUCGUAGCGAAAAGCACUGCAUGCACUGAUAGGUACUGUUUCCUCCCUCAUGACCAAUAGCAUCGCAUUGGAACUUCAUAUCUCCCCCAAGAUACUGCUCCACAGGUACAUCAAUGUCCUUAUCGCCUACUUUUAUCUUUAGGAAUAAUAAUCGAUUGAGUUGUUCAACGAUGGGACCUAGAUACUUUCGAAUGUUUUCACUGCUUUCGUCAUCAUUGAAAAUGCCAAGUGGAAUUAGAUGGAAACAGCUGUUAGGUUGGGAGACAUUUCCAAUUGACAAACAUAACUUGAAUUCUUCUGAUCCUUUAUCGCCGAGGAUCGUAAGCCAAAUAGGAUCGUCUCCAACUACCAUCUUUCCAUUAGCAACUAAUUCAUUAAUCCUUUCAGUUAACAUUUUGACGACGUCGAGCAGAUGAACGGCGACCACGGAUUUACCGUCAACGGUAUGCUCGGUGACCUUGAAUUGAUCCGAGGAGCCAACAACUUUCUCCAGCUUUUUGAUCUCAUGAAUAGAUGGCAAUGGAUCGAUACAUCCACUUCCUCGCAGCAUUUGUUUCAACUUGGUGAAUCGUCUUCUCGUGAGGUUGCUGGCGUGAUAGAGAUAUAAUCCUUCCCUCUUUGACAUCUUCCAUUUCAGAAGACCCAACUUACUCAAUCUUCCAAGAAGAAGGCGGUAAAAUUCAGAAGAUUCGCCGCCUAAAAUCACUUUAAAUAACUGUAUUUGUAGGUAUUUCUCACCACAUCGCUGAAGUUCAGCUCUCGCUAUCUCUAUUCUCCUAAACUUCUCGCUCCUGCUGAUGAGAUUUUUGAAUUCAGUUUUGAAAGGUGGCCGUUUCCCUGCUUUCAGGUCCCGAAUCAUCUUAACAUCUUCGACUUUUUCCACAUCUGCCAUUCGUAAUUCAUCAUUUUUUCCUGAAAGUUGCCGAUCUAAUUCCCUUUUUGCAGUUUCCAAACGACGGUUUUCAGUUUCCAAAACUCCUUUCUCCCGUUUCAACUGCGUCCAACUCUGUUUCAUCGUUUUCAGUUCUUCUUGUACAGCCUAAAAUAUUAUCUAUUUCAGCAAUUUCUUAUCUCUAUUAUAUACCUUGUACUUAUCAUUCAACUUUCCCAACUUCUCAGAGUGCUCUCCAUUAAGCUUAUCCCUAAUUUUUUUCAGCUUUAUUUCAGCAUCUUCUUUCAAAAGUUUUGCAUCGCUCACGUCCCUUGUCAGCUUCUCAUUGUCUUGCAAGGCACGUUUCAGGUCGGAUGAUAAGGAUACACCAAGAGGCGUCGUCAUCCUAAGCGGCGUAGACAUGGCUUCCUGUUAAAAAAUGUCACUUUGCCCAGAAAAUUUUUGCAUAGAUUCCUUGGAGGGGUCCUACCCUUUUUAAAGCACAACAAUAUUUAAUAACAUUUAUUAUAGUAUAAACAAUUUAACUUUUCAGGAUGACGAGGAUGGUCGGUAUAGAUCGAUGGCGAGGAUGGUCGGGAUGCAUCAAUGACGAGGAUGGUCGGGAUUGACGGCUCGCGACAGGACCGGUACCUUCGAAUCAAUUACUAUUUUUUUUCAGGUCAUUUUUUAUUUAUUGUAGACCAAUUUCGAAAAUUAAACCCCGUAGGGCAUUUUAUUCUUCCAGAUUCGUCGGCCCUCCGAGCAGCUCCAACAGCAACAACAACGGCUCCAACCUCCCCAACCGCUUCAACAGUAACGACGAAGAAACGAAUAAUCUAUAAAUGUAUUGUAAUCAUUCUGUCCCUUUAUCUCCAAAAAAUUCCAGUUUUGAAGGCAUACGACACGUUUUGUGAAGUUCUCGGUGACGAUUUCAUGGAAUAUCGGGAAUUUGACUUCUGGUACUAUAAAAUUGGAAAUGGAGAUGCUAAUUUGACCUGUAAAAUGAGGUUUUUCAAUUUUAAAGUGAUUAUUUCCAUAUAAUAACUUUCAGCUACAACCCAAAAAGUCCGAUUUUCACCGAUUUUCCCGACACGGUUGUCCAUACAGUUUUGGAAAAGCUAUUGCCAGCGGAAAG